This 333-nucleotide ribosomal RNA is filed under the name uncultured bacterium. RNAcentral's name for it is "bacterial SSU rRNA". It matches the Rfam family "Bacterial small subunit ribosomal RNA", at positions 30 to 363 of the family's 1533-position model. The record is from RNAcentral.
AUUGAACGCUGGCGGCAGGCCUACACAUGCAAGUCGAGCGGAUGAGAGGAGCUUGCUCUUCGAUUCAGCGGCGGACGGGUGAGUAAAUGCCUAGGAAUCUGCCUAGUAGCGGGGGACAACGUUUCGAAAGGAACGCUAAUACCGCAUACGUCCUACGGGAGAAAGUGGGGGAUCUUCGGACCUCACGCUAUUAGAUGAGCCUAGGUCGGAUUAGCUAGUUGGUAGGGUAAAGGCCUACCAAGGCGACGAUCCGUAACUGGUCUGAGAGGAUGAUCAGUCACACUGGAACUGAGACACGGUCCAGACUCCUACGGGAGGCAGCAGUGGGGAAUA